This 3585-nucleotide long non-coding RNA is filed under the name Arabidopsis lyrata. RNAcentral describes it as "long non-coding RNA (ALYR_LNC000713)". Lineage: Eukaryota; Viridiplantae; Streptophyta; Magnoliopsida; Brassicales; Brassicaceae. The record is from RNAcentral.
AUAUGUGCGAUCUUUUGGUGGUGUUUUUAAUUCAAAACAUCAAUAACUUUAGUUUCUGAGAUUUUAAAAAGAAGUAAGACUACGAAUGUAAGGAAAUGAAGAAGAAUUAAAAAUGAUCUAUUUUUGUUGUUGUUUGUUGCUUUAGUCGAACCAGUAAACUGGUCGUUGUUUUAUGUUUUGGGUUUGAUUUGGAUGUGUGGUUGACUUCUAUCUUUGAGAUAUUAUUUGAUGUAACUCUCUUUUUUUUUUAAAAUGUAAAUUAAUUUGUGAUUUUUUAACAUGGAGUAGUGUUUGAUGCAUUUGUGAAUUCUUAUACAAAAUUUUAGAAACCUAUAUAAUAUAACAAGAAAGAAAAAAAGAGAAAAAAAAAAAAAGAGAAAAAAAGAAACAAAUCAAUAUACCCUAUUCUUAAUUAGUUCAUUGCUAAUCUAAUAGACAUGAUCUACACGCAAACAUUGUGACUGAUGAUAGUGUAGAUGAUCUACGCGAGGAUAGAAUCGGAAUUUAAUAUUUGCAGACAACCAUCCCCUUUCGGGUGGAGCCAGAAAGUGGAAUUUUUAUUUAAAGAUCCGACUCCCGACAACUAUAUAUCAACGGUUCAUAUCCGCUGAUUUAAAUCGGACGGUUCAUAAUUAUUAACAUGAUCAAAUCUGAGCCGUUGGAUUAGAAUCCGUUCCUAAACAAAAAUACGCAACUUUCUCCACUUAUUUACUAUUCUGCCACUUUCUUUAAUUUAAUUUUUAAUCUCGGCUACGAGUUUCUGGGUGAUGAUAAUUAAGCUUUUUUUCUUUCUGCUUUGCUUUAAUGGAAGGACCUUGACACUUCUCUCUCUCUCUUUCUCUUUCUCUUUGCUAUUCAUCUUCUACAGUUUCGUAAAAAAUAUUCUCUUCUUCUCCAAAAUAUCUGUUACUCUAAUUUUUGAUCGUCUUCUUCUUUGUCUUGAGCUUCCAUUUUUCCAUCAACGAUUUGUUUUUCCCUUGAGGUAACUUUUUCUUCUCUGUUCUUUCUAAUCUGGUAAUUUUGAGCUUGAUGAUGUUUGUGUGUGAAUAUGUGUGUUAGUAGUUACUAGAUCUACGUUGUUUUGAAAAAAAUUUAGUAGAUCUACGAGCUAUUGAGUUUCUUCUUCGAUUUUUUUCACUCUAUAGCGACAUCUUGGUUUCUGUGAGCUGUUGGCUAGGUUUAGUAUUACUAUUAAACCAGUUCUGGUUUUGGCUUAUUUAGGAUACAAAUAAACCCGGUUAAAUGCAAUCUACUCUAGAAUUCUGAUUUAUAUGGUUUAGAUAUUGAAUUUUGGUUGAAAGUGGUGUGAGUUAGAUCCCCNNNNNNNNNNNNNNNNNNNNNNNNNNNNNNNNNNNNNNNNNNNNNNNNNNNNNNNNNNNNNNNNNNNNNNNNNNNNNNNNNNNNNNNNNNNNNNNNNNNNUAUUCACUUUCAACCAAAAUUCAAUAUCUAAACCAUAUAAAUCAGAAGUCUAGAGUAGAUUGCAUUUAACCGGUUUAUUUGUAUCCUAAAUAAGCCAAAACCAGAACUGGUUUAAUAGUAAUACUAAACCUAGCCAACAGCUCACAGAAACCAAGAUGUCGCUAUAGAGUGAAAAAAAUCGAAGAAGAAACUCAAUAGCUCGUAGAUCUACUAAAUUUUUUUCAAAACAACGUAGAUCUAGUAACUACUAACACACAUCUUCACACACAAACAUCAUCAAGCUCAAAUAACCGGAUUUGAAACAUGUAUAAGAAGAACAGAGAAGAAAUAGUUACCUCAAGAGGGAAAAACAAAUUGUGGAUGAAAAAUUGAAGCUCAAGAAGACGAGAGUAUCGGAUAUUUUGGAGAAUAAGUUUACGAAACUGUAAAAGAUGAAUAGCAAGCUCGAUGUCGAAGCCUCUAACAAGUUUACGAAGCCUCUAACAUGUUAGAUUUGGUUGAAAGUGAAUACGUGACUCUUUCGCUUGUUGGAGAUGUUCCAUGGGAGUAAGCUUCCUCUCUUAGAUUCAAAACUUGUUAGAAGCUUUCUCUACUCUCUGCCAGAUAUCUUAGAAUCAAAUCUAACAUGCUAUAGAAGAUUAAAUCAUGGUGAUUGGUAUAAGCGCUCCUGAGUGAUUUCUGAUCCAAUGUAUAUUACAGGAUGUUUAUUGAUGUCUGCAAGAAGCUGAAGAUAAUGAAAGGAUGUGAUGCUAUUGGGUUAGGUAAAGUCGGUAAAGUCUUUUCUUCUCUCUGCUCCUAAGAGACAGACCAUGGCCGAGCCAAAACCGAAGCUUCAUGUUGCAGUGUUCUCAUGGUUAGCUUUUUGGAUUCUGGAAUUUUCAGGGCACAAAUUGUGGGUUGGCCUCCUGUGAGAUCCUAUAGGAAGAACACAUUGGCCACCACUUGUAAGAAUAGUGAUGAAGUUGAUGGGAGGCCAGGUCCUGGGACCAUGUUCGUAAAGGUCAGUAUGGAUGGUGCUCCUUGUCUGAGGAAAGUUGACCUGAGGAGCUACGCUAACUACGGGGAGCUUUCUUCAGCCUUGGAGAAAAUGUUCACCACUCUCACUCUAGGUGAGAUGUUUCAGUGAUUGCUAGUGAUGUGUUUGCAAAGCUCUUUCUCUUUAUGGAUCAAUGAAUGAGUGCAAUCAAAGUGGUUAACCUGCACUGUUUGUUUCAUGUUUAGGUCAAUGUGGAUCUAAUGGAGCUGCUGGGAAGGAUAUGCUUAGUGAGACCAAGCUUAAGGAUCUUUUGAAUGGAAAAGACUAUGUGCUCACUUAUGAGGAUAAGGAUGGGGACUGGAUGCUUGUUGGAGAUGUUCCAUGGGAGUAAGUUUUCUCUCUUAUAUUCAAAACUUGUUAGAAGCUUUCUCUAUACUCUACCAGAUAUCUUAGAAUCAAAUCUAACAUGCUAUGGAAGAUUAAAUCAUGGUGAUUGGUAUAAGCGCUCCUGAGUGAUUUCUAAUCCAAUGUAUAUUACAGGAUGUUUAUUGAUGUCUGCAAGAAGCUGAAGAUAAUGAAAGGAUGUGAUGCUAUUGGGUUAGGUAAAGUCUUUUCUUCUCUCUGCUCCUAAGAUACAACGUAAACUACUAUCUCUAAAACCCAUUGCAAGUAGGUUUAUGAUGAGAUUAGUGGUUUGUUGGUGUGAGUUACUUGUAGCUGAUUUAGAAAGUUCAAUUCAUAUUUGAUCACUUGUCUUCUUUUGGGAGUAAAGACGAUAAAUUAACAUGUAAAUAUAACGUAAUUAAACUGACAUAAAUAAUAGUCGUUAUUAGGAGUUUGGUAUGGACUUUGAAUCUAAAAUGUCUUAAUGAUUCAAUGUGGUGAACUGGUGAUAUUGCAGCUGCAGCUCCGAGAGCAAUGGAGAAAUCGAAGAUGAGAGCUUAAAAGAUGGAACAUGACAAAGCUUUCUAAUUAUACAAAAUAUGUGCGAUCUUUUGGUGGUGUUUUUAAAUUUCAAAACAUCAAUAUCUUUUAAGUUUCUGAGAUUUUAAAAAGAAGUAAGUAAGACUACGAAUGUAAGGAAAUGAAGAAGAAUUAAAAAUGAUCUUAUUUUUGUUGUUGUUUGUUGCUUUAGUCGAACCAGUAAACUGGUCGUUGUUUUAUGUUUUGGGUUUGAUUUGGAUGUGUG